This 446-nucleotide ribosomal RNA is filed under the name uncultured bacterium. Its description in RNAcentral is "partial 16S ribosomal RNA". It matches the Rfam family "Bacterial small subunit ribosomal RNA", at positions 338 to 795 of the family's 1533-position model. The record is from RNAcentral.
CCUACGGGUGGCUGCAGUCGAGAAUCAUUCACAAUGGGGGAAACCCUGAUGGUGCGACGCCGCGUGGGGGAAUGAAGGUCUUCGGAUUGUAAACCCCUGUCAUGUGGGAGCAAAUUAAAAAGAUAGUACCACAAGAGGAAGAGACGGCUAACUCUGUGCCAGCAGCCGCGGUAAUACAGAGGUCUCAAGCGUUGUUCGGAAUCACUGGGCGUAAGGCGUGCGUAGGCUGUUUCGUACGUCGGGUGUGAAAGGCGCGGGCUCAACCCGCGGACGGCACAUGAUACUGCGAGACUAGAGUAAUGGAGGGGGAACCGGAAUUCUCGGUGUAGCAGUGAAAUGCGUAGAUAUCGAGAGGAACACUCGUGGCGAAGGCGGGUUCCUGGACAUUAACUGACGCUGAGGCACGAAGGCCAGGGGAGCGAAAGGGAUUAGAUACCCCAGUAGUC